GAUUUAGGGCUUGCAUUAGGUCCCAAAGAGUUUUGCAUGUUUUGAGGUUUUUAUCAGGUGCUUUGGGAGUCAUUUGGAGCUUAAGAAGAGGAGCAGAGAAGAAGACGGUGAAGAAAACGGUCAAAACCGGUGAAAACCGCUUGGAGGAAUUUCUCGGUCAAAAUCCUUACCGAUCGCUCAUUACCGGCCAAAAUCCUUACCGAUCGCUCAUUACCGGCCAAAAUCCUUACCGAUCGUCCAACCUCGACCAAAAAGCUUACCGAUCGUUCAGCACCGACCAAAGUCCGUACCGAUCGACCAAAGUCAGCCUGGGUCGAAGAUCAGGCGUUAAUACCGCGAGUUGAGUUUUGGCCAAGGCGAAAGGAUUUUUACGACCAAAAAGCUUACCGCGGUACACAGCCCUCGGCCAUUUUCCUUACCGCGGGAAGCUUUUCUCGACCAAAAUCUGUCCUUCUCUGCGCAAUUCAAAGAUAUGAAAUCCGGGGAACCUUCCGGUCCGAAUCAGUUGGCGGGGUCUUCAGCAAAGUUGGAGAUAAUCAAACAAAGAUCCCAGAACAGUUGGAAUCAUCCAAUUCGGACCAGUAGGGAGAAAGAUACAGCUUCCGGAAGAUGCACCAACAUUACGCGCAUCCGAGAACUGAACGGCGAAGUACAAAGGUCACGGCGGACGGAGCCUUUCCGGACCAAAUCAGCUUGCCCGGUCUUCAUCAAAGUUUGAGAUCUGUGAAAGACCUUUUCAGAACAGUAGGGGUCGCUCAAUUCGGACGAGUAGUUUGAAAGAGAAAGUCUCCGGAGUUCACAUCGGUCCAAACAGUUUAUUUUCCGGUGAUUUCGAUGCGGUUCAAAGAUGUGAAAUCCAGGAAGACUUCCACUACCCAAGCUCCGACGGUUUCUUCACCAAAGUUCGAGUUUAUUGAGUCACCUUGACUAGGGAACUGGUCUCAGAGCAUUUGGAGUCGUGGGUCGAAAGUUACUGCUUCCGGAAAGCGACAUGGUCGAUACGGGCCCAAAUAUGUUGCGAUACGCGCUAAGUGUUUCUUCAGGGCUCGGCAUCAUUACCUCGACAUCGGCCAAGUCAAGGCCCAUAUUUUGGAAGUAUCCUGAGCCAGGCCUCGUACUGAUACCUCGGCACGUUGGGAUCAAGGCAUGCACACGUAAGAAUGGAGCUGGAAACGAUUAAGUGUUGAACAUGCACCUCGGUGUAGCGACCUCGGCGUGCAUGCCGGACCCUGUUUGCUCAAAUCCCUCGAC
RNAcentral lists this long non-coding RNA (1251 nucleotides) under Eutrema salsugineum. RNAcentral describes it as "long non-coding RNA (ESAL_LNC000231)". The record is from RNAcentral. Lineage: Eukaryota; Viridiplantae; Streptophyta; Magnoliopsida; Brassicales; Brassicaceae.